UUAAAGGGCAGCCAUGAGUUUCCGUGUCUAAUUUUAAUUAUUCAUUUUAUUUAAAUUUUAUUAGUAUUUUUAUUGUUAUUAGAUGAUAAAAUAUAAAAGGUACUUUAUUUAUGACAUAUGCUUUUUAAUUUUUUCAAAAAAAAAUUCAAAUAAGACGAAUGAUUAAAAUUGAAUACAGAAACUCAUAGCUACACUUAAA
MicroRNA precursor from Oryza sativa Indica Group (long-grained rice), 199 nucleotides. It matches the Rfam family "MIR812 microRNA precursor family". The record is from Rfam. Lineage: Eukaryota; Viridiplantae; Streptophyta; Magnoliopsida; Poales; Poaceae.